UACGUAGGUGACAAGCGUUGUCCGGAUUUACUGGGCGUAAAGAGCGCGCAGGCGGUCGUUCAAGUCGAGUGUGAAAGCCCCCGGCUCAACUGGGGAGGGUCACUCGAUACUGAUCGACUCGAAGGCAGGAGAGGGUAGUGGAAUUCCCGGUGUAGUGGUGAAAUGCGUAGAUAUCGGGAGGAACACCAGUGGCGAAGGCGGCUCACUGGCCCGGUACUGACGCUGAGGCGCGAAAGCGUGGGGAGCAAACAGG
Molecule: ribosomal RNA, 253 nt
Filed under: uncultured bacterium
Lineage: Bacteria
Description: partial 16S ribosomal RNA
Rfam family: Bacterial small subunit ribosomal RNA
Source: RNAcentral